CAGCAGCCGCGGUAAUACGGAGGGUGCAAGCGUUAUCCGGAUUUAUUGGGUUUAAAGGGUCCGUAGGCGGACUUAUAAGUCAGUGGUGAAAGCCUGUCGCUUAACGAUAGAACUGCCAUUGAUACUGUAAGUCUUGAGUAUAUUUGAGGUAGCUGGAAUAAGUAGUGUAGCGGUGAAAUGCAUAGAUAUUACUUAGAACACCAAUUGCGAAGGCAGGUUACCAAGAUAUAACUGACGCUGAGGGACGAAAGCGUGGGUAGCGAACAGGAUUAGAUACCCGAGUAGUCCCUGUCUCUUAUAC
Molecule: ribosomal RNA, 301 nt
Filed under: uncultured bacterium
Lineage: Bacteria
Description: partial 16S ribosomal RNA
Rfam family: Bacterial small subunit ribosomal RNA
Source: RNAcentral